UACGUAGGGGGCAAGCGUUGUCCGGAUUUAUUGGGCGUAAAGAGCGUGUAGGCGGCCAUGUAGGUCCGUUGUGAAAACUCGAGGCUCAACCUCGAGACGCCGAUGGAAACCAUGUGGCUAGAGUCCGGAAGAGGAGAGUGGAAUUCCUGGUGUAGCGGUGAAAUGCGCAGAUAUCAGGAAGAACACCCGUGGCUAAGGCGGCUCUCUAGUACGGUACUGACGCUGAGGCACGAAAGCGUGGGGAGCAAACAGG
Molecule: ribosomal RNA, 253 nt
Filed under: uncultured bacterium
Lineage: Bacteria
Description: partial 16S ribosomal RNA
Rfam family: Bacterial small subunit ribosomal RNA
Source: RNAcentral